Carassius gibelio (silver crucian carp) is the source of this 966-nucleotide long non-coding RNA. RefSeq lists it as uncharacterized. The record is from RefSeq and is a predicted model, not a curated record. The transcript has 4 exons. NCBI's taxonomy places the organism in Eukaryota, Metazoa, Chordata, Actinopteri, Cypriniformes, Cyprinidae.
UACACCUUCAAACAGUUACGUCGGAUUACAUACUCCACAACAACCUGUAAUCCAGCAGAUCUUUAAAGAAGCCAUCUCUUGUAAAAUCUCUCUCUCUCUCUCUCUCUCUCUCUCGCUCUCGCUCUGCUAGAAUUAACAGGGAACUUCAACUCCACGCUCCCAAUGCUGAUAUUGAAGAAGCUGUCAAGGGGGCUGAACAAGUCCUUCAAAGGAUCAACCCUUCACAGGAAGGCCUGUCAUGAGAUUUGAAUUUGACCAUCUUGUGCAUUUAUGAAGAAGACCAAAAGCUGCAAAGGCAAACACUUCCAAUGGAUUUCUCACAGAUUACUUAAUCAUUCUUCAUCAGCUCUUCACAAUAUCAGCCCAUUCAAAAGCUUCCAGAUCUUCCUCUCUUGUGUGACACAUCUGCUCUCAGUCCUUUACUGCCAACCUCCAGUCUUAGCAUUUCUGCUUGUAUUCAUUUUUCCUCUACAUUCAUCACUCCAAUCUCUACUAUAAGCACUCCUGUAUAUAUAUAUAUAUAUAUACACAUAAUAAUAAUUAUUAUUAUUAACCAUUUAUUUGUUUUGCAUUUAUUCACAAUAGAAUCAAACAAUGAUUACAGGAUAUAUAAUUUUAAAGGUGAUAAUUGUAAAAUAUUGGAGCAUUGUUCUUAAUCAUUUUUGCCUAUUUGGUUGAUAAAGGGAAGAAAACAAUAUAUUUUCAACUGUAGCCUUGAUUAUUCUUUGGCAUCUUUUGUCAGGAUUUCUGUAAACAAAUUCCCUUUUUAUUUUUGAAUAUUAAACUUGUGUUUUUUGAAGGGAGUUUCUGUUGCAAUUUUGUUUGUUUGUUUUCACUUAGUUACCUCUAUGCAUUUUUUUUAAUCAACUUUUCUUUUUUUUCAUAGUGGAAUAAACUGGAGAGAGACUGUUCUGGGCACUAUGUUUAUCUGCGAAAAGUUUGACAUAUCAAUAAACACUGUAAAAU